Streptomyces sp. WAC00263 is the source of this 96-nucleotide non-coding RNA. The record is from Rfam. NCBI's taxonomy places the organism in Bacteria, Bacillati, Actinomycetota, Actinomycetes, Kitasatosporales, Streptomycetaceae.
UGACCCCGUGCGGGAGAGUCCUCCAGACAUCAUCGGAGGCGCCGAAGGAGCAAAUCCUCCCCGGAAUCUCUCAGGCACACGUACCGCACGGACGAG